UCUUGAUGGUGAAGUGGGCAAGAGACUAAAUCAGAUGGUUCCUAUUCCUCACGUCCCUAAAAUUAAUGGGGAAUUACCAUCAGAAGAUGAAGAGAUUUCAGAUCAUCAAAGGCUGUUAGACAGGUUGAAGGUAUAUAAUUUGGUUGAAAAUAAGGUCCAAGGAGAUGGAAACUGUCAGUUUCGUGCCUUAUCAGAUCAACUCUAUCGUUCAUCUGAGCAACACAAAGUUGUAAGGGAUUGUGUUCUUUCUCAGCUGAAGUCUUACC
Molecule: unclassified non-coding RNA, 266 nt
Filed under: Hevea brasiliensis (rubber tree)
Lineage: Eukaryota; Viridiplantae; Streptophyta; Magnoliopsida; Malpighiales; Euphorbiaceae
Source: RNAcentral